RNAcentral lists this long non-coding RNA (540 nucleotides) under Equus caballus (horse). RNAcentral describes it as "lncRNA (ENSECAG00000059593.1)". Lineage: Eukaryota; Metazoa; Chordata; Mammalia; Perissodactyla; Equidae. The record is from RNAcentral.
AACAACCAGAGCCAUAAAGGAAAGAGAAAUCUGGCUUCCCUGGAGUUCAAAAUAAACGCAGCGAAGCCAAGUACCCCCGCACGCCCUCGCGCACACCCCGCGGGGAGCCAACGCCUUCUUACGCACAAGCGCAGAGGCUUGUGGGCAGUGCCAGCGCUCAGAAAGAUUGUUCCUGUUCUUUGGCUUAUUGGAGAAGCUACUAUUUGUUUUCAAAUUAUUUUGUACAAUAUGACUUCAGUGAUUGCUGCUGCAGGAGUCUCGGGUCACAGACACGCUCAACCACCAACCUCUCUCUUUGAGUUAACCUGGCCAGCAAUGGAGCGUCCACUUCAGCACCACUUAUUAUCCAAAGUGAGGAUUUUAAAAGUGUUGGAGCUGGACAAACACACGCCUGCUCUGCAGCAUGAACGAUUUCUCCAGAAGUACUUCUCCCCAUGGCUCACUGUCAUGGAACCACAAUGGCCACCCUGCACAGAGGGGCUUGAAGGAAAUAGCUCCUAAGAUGGAGACAAAAAAGCGUUGAGUACCAUAUAUGAGGUU